UACGAGAUACCCAGAAAGAAGACGAUUUGAUUUUCCGAGGCAUAUCUGAAAGAAUGGCUUCAAGACCCGUGGUUCAACAGCAAAAUAGAGUAGAUUUGCAGUUGAGGGAAUAAAGCAAAAGAACAUGGUGGCAGAGGGAAGGAACUGUCGGGAACUUGGGGAUAUUGGCAAUAUGGUUACCGUUCGAGGGGUUGAAGGCAAGCAAACCUGAAGCUGUGAUUGUAAUCAUCCCUGACACUAAAGAAGAGGCUGCUUGUGGACUGAACAUUAAAUUACCAAAGUAGAAGAUUGAAGAUAUUGAUGGUGGAGAUGAGCAAUUGUGGAGUAUGCAGAAAACAUUUACAAAUUUGGCUACAAGGAAGCUGAGGUACACAUCUUCUAUCAUUUAUACUCUUUCAUUAAUGCUUCUCUAAAUGUUAUACCAUUGCCUGAUUUUAAAAUUACUAUAUAAGGUUAGUGUUUACUGUAUAUGGCUAAAUCAAUAUCAAAUAGGGAGGUUUGUUAAUUGUUAG
Molecule: long non-coding RNA, 512 nt
Organism: Ipomoea nil (Japanese morning glory)
Lineage: Eukaryota; Viridiplantae; Streptophyta; Magnoliopsida; Solanales; Convolvulaceae
Exons: 3
Source: RefSeq, a predicted model, not a curated record